UACGUAGGUGGCAAGCGUUAUCCGGAUUUACUGGGUGUAAAGGGCGUGUAGGCGGUUUUGCAAGUCAGAUGUGAAAUCUCCGGGCUUAACCCGGAAACUGCAUCUGAAACUGCAGAACUUGAGUACUGGAGAGGAUAGUGGAAUUCCUAGUGUAGCGGUAAAAUGCAUAGAUAUUAGGAGGAACACCAGUGGCGAAGGCGACUAUCUGGACAGUAACUGACGCUGAGGCGCGAAAGCGUGGGGAGGCAAACAGGAUUAGAUACCCU
This 266-nucleotide ribosomal RNA is filed under the name uncultured prokaryote. RNAcentral describes it as "partial 16S ribosomal RNA". It matches the Rfam family "Bacterial small subunit ribosomal RNA", at positions 524 to 788 of the family's 1533-position model. The record is from RNAcentral.